This is a long non-coding RNA of Pyrus x bretschneideri (Chinese white pear), 681 nucleotides long. RefSeq lists it as uncharacterized. Lineage: Eukaryota; Viridiplantae; Streptophyta; Magnoliopsida; Rosales; Rosaceae. The record is from RefSeq and is a predicted model, not a curated record. The transcript has 3 exons.
UUGUGUGGGUUUCCGGUAAUUAGCUUUGUAUAGGGUGAACCGUCCAGCCGUAGAUAAUUAUUUGAAAAUCCAAGCACGUGAAUUGCUCUUUUUAAACCAAACCAAGUUUAAAUUUCUAGUCCUGUGAUGUUGAAUUGCUCAUAAACGUGUUAUGCUGUCAUAAAAAUUCAUCCUUGUUUUACUUUUAGUGAACUCAAUCAAUUCACUUCAGAUUUUAUACUUUUCUCCGGGUCCAGUUUUUAUCAGAUUAUAUGCUAUAUCGUAUAUGUCACUGAAACGAUAGCAGCUGCAAUGCACUUGAUGGUCAAGAAAACUGCAUAUUGGCACUAGUUUUUUGACUUGCGUCUCUGAAUGGCAGUGUCUUUACGACCGGAACUUUUUGAGGGAAUGCGCUUUGAUUUUUUCAAGGGACUCGACCACAAGUUCUCCCUUAGCUGCAGGUUUUUGUUUUCUACUCUCUCAACUUUUGUUUUUGCAUUCCUUCCUCAUCAGUCCUUUCUAUUCUUCUGCUUAUUUCGCUGACUGUUUUUGCAUUGGGAGGGUAUUAACAGACGGGAGACUUAAUGCAAGAGUCAAGUAUGACUUGACUAACAACCUCACUCUCAAGGCUAAUGCUCAGCUCGCAAAUGAGCCGCACAUGUCUAAUGCCAUGGUCAAUUUGGACUACAAGGGUUCAGACUG